This 253-nucleotide ribosomal RNA is filed under the name uncultured bacterium. RNAcentral describes it as "partial 16S ribosomal RNA". It matches the Rfam family "Bacterial small subunit ribosomal RNA", at positions 524 to 776 of the family's 1533-position model. The record is from RNAcentral.
UACGAAGGGUGCAAGCGUUACUCGGAAUUACUGGGCGUAAAGCGUGCGUAGGUGGUGAGUUAAGUCUGUCGUGAAAGCCCCGGGCUCAACCUGGGAAUGGCGAUGGAUACUGGCUCGCUAGAGUGCGGUAGAGGAGAGUGGAAUUCCCGGUGUAGCAGUGAAAUGCGUAGAUAUCAAGUGGAACACCAGUGGCGAAGGCGAGUCUCUGGACAUUUCCUGACGCUGAGGCACGAAAGCCAGGGGAGCAAACGGG